RNAcentral lists this ribosomal RNA (497 nucleotides) under uncultured bacterium. RNAcentral describes it as "partial 16S ribosomal RNA". It matches the Rfam family "Bacterial small subunit ribosomal RNA", at positions 28 to 507 of the family's 1533-position model. The record is from RNAcentral.
GACGAACGCUGGCGGCGUGCCUAAUACAUGCAAGUUGAGCGAUGAAGAUUGGUGCUUGCACCAAUUUGAAGAGCAGCGAACGGGUGAGUAACGCGUGGGGAAUCCGCCUUUGAGCGGGGGACAACAUUUGGAAACGAAUGCUAAUACCGCAUAACAACUUUAAACAUAAGUUUUAAGUUUGAAAGAUGCAAUUGCAUCACUCAAAGAUGAUCCCGCGUUGUAUUAGCUAGUUGGUGAGGUAAAGGCUCACCAAGGCGAUGAUACAUAGCCGACCUGAGAGGGUGAUCGGCCAAAUUGGGACUGAGACACGGCCCAAACUCCUACGGGAGGCAGCAGUAGGGAAUCUUCGGCAAUGGACGAAAGUCUGACCGAGCAACGCCGCGUGAGUGAAGAAGGUUUUCGGAUCGUAAAACUCUGUUGGUAGAGAAGAACGUUGGUGAGAGUGGAAAGCUCAUCAAGUGACGGUAACUACCCAGAAAGGGACGGCUAACUACGUG